UGAGUAAUGUCUGGGAAACUGCCCGAUGGAGGGGGAUAACUACUGGAAACGGUAGCUAAUACCGCAUAACGUCGCAAGACCAAAGUGGGGGACCUUCGGGCCUCACACCAUCGGAUGUGCCCAGAUGGGAUUAGCUAGUAGGUGGGGUAAUGGCUCACCUAGGCGACGAUCCCUAGCUGGUCUGAGAGGAUGACCAGCCACACUGGAACUGAGACACGGUCCAGACUCCUACGGGAGGCAGCAGUGGGGAAUAUUGCACAAUGGGCGCAAGCCUGAUGCAGCCAUGCCGCGUGUAUGAAGAAGGCCUUCGGGUUGUAAAGACUUUCAGCGGGGAGGAAGGCGGUGGAGUUAAUAGCUUCACCGAUUGACGUUACCCGCAGAAGAAGCACCGGCUAACUCCGUGCCAGCAGCCGCGGUAAUACGGAGGGUGCAAGCGUUAAUCGGAAUUACUGGGCGUAAAGCGCACGCAGGCGGUCUGUCAAGUCGGAUGUGAAAUCCCCGGG
Molecule: ribosomal RNA, 503 nt
Filed under: uncultured bacterium
Lineage: Bacteria
Description: bacterial SSU rRNA
Rfam family: Bacterial small subunit ribosomal RNA
Source: RNAcentral